RNAcentral lists this ribosomal RNA (504 nucleotides) under Malassezia arunalokei. RNAcentral's name for it is "partial large subunit ribosomal RNA". It matches the Rfam family "Eukaryotic large subunit ribosomal RNA", at positions 107 to 617 of the family's 3401-position model. The record is from RNAcentral. Lineage: Eukaryota; Fungi; Basidiomycota; Malasseziomycetes; Malasseziales; Malasseziaceae.
GCUCAAUUUGAAGCUGGCGUCUUCGGCGUCCGCGUUGUAAUCUCGAGACGUGUUUUCCGUGCGGCUCUAUGGACAAGUCCCUUGGAACAGGGCAUCGUAGAGGGUGAAAAUCCCGUACUUGCCAUGGAAGAACCGUGCUUUGUGAUACACGCUCCAAGAGUCGAGUAGUUUGGGAUUGCUGCUCAAAGUGGGUGGUAGACUCCAUCUAAAGCUAAAUAUCGGGGAGAGACCGAUAGCGAACAAGUACCGUGAGGGAAAGAUGAAAAGCACUUUGGAAAGAGAGUUAAAAGUACGUGAAAUUGUCGAAAGGGAAGCACUUGAAGUCAGCCAUGCUGCUUGAGACUCAGCCUGGCUUUUGCUUGGGGUAUUUCUCGGGAGCAAGCCCCCAUUGUGUUGUGUCGCGUCAGAAACGCACGGAGAAUGUGGAAUCCUCGCAUGUGUGAUAUACCUGUAUUGAAUACAACGACACCUACAUCAAAACGCACUGUGCGCUCUGUGCGCGUC